This 133-nucleotide small RNA is filed under the name Marmota monax (woodchuck). Lineage: Eukaryota; Metazoa; Chordata; Mammalia; Rodentia; Sciuridae. The record is from RNAcentral.
GCUGGGCGUGGUGGUGUGCGCCUGUAAUCCCAGCAGUUUGGGAGACUGAGGCAAGAGGAUUGUAAAUUCAAAGCCAGACUCAGCAACUUAGCGAAGCCCUGUCUCAAAAUUAAAUUUUGAGACCCUGUCUCAA